RNAcentral lists this unclassified non-coding RNA (237 nucleotides) under Pollicipes pollicipes. Its description in RNAcentral is "prohormone-1-like, transcript variant X1". The record is from RNAcentral. Lineage: Eukaryota; Metazoa; Arthropoda; Thecostraca; Pollicipedomorpha; Pollicipedidae.
CUGGCUGGAGCGAAGGAAAGGCGCGUGGAGAUCUGUCUCACUGGUGAACGGAGACCCCGGACAACUCGCCGCGCAGUCUCGAGGCGCCAUGACCCCGGCUCGGCUGAUCGUGCUGCUGGCCGUCUGCCUGUCGGCAGUGCUCUCUACGGCCGCCGCCAAGGCCCUAGAGAAGGGGAUAACGUUCCCGCAGUUCGAGGGGACCGGCGACCGCCAGCUAGACGUGAUGGAGGACGACGG